GAGAAGAAGGCCCAUACUCCAUUUUUCUAACUUCAAAUCUACUUUCCUUCUAUACCUUUAAAACUGCCACUGAAACACACAAAUAUAACCACCGCACAAAAUGCUCCGACCAGGCACCGCCAUCGUCGCCUCCACAUUUGUUGCCCUCAUUUUCUCCUCCACGUUAUGCAAGGUGUCAGCCCAGGCGCCCUUACCUCUUCCUUUUCCAGGCUUCAAGCCACCGCCUUCAGCACCAACACCUUUCACUCCUCUAGCGCCUACGCCUUUAGGGCCUUCAGCACCAACACUCGAUUGCAUGACGCCGCUGCUUAACAUGUCAGAUUGCUUGAGUUAUGUACAGGAAUCAAGUAACACGACGGUGCCGGACAAGAAUUGCUGCCCGGAGCUGGCUGGAUUGAUCGAGGGAAGCCCUAUCUGCUUGUGUCAGUUGCUGAGUAACACUAGCUUGGCAGAGUCUUAUGGUAUUAAGAUCG
Molecule: unclassified non-coding RNA, 473 nt
Filed under: Hevea brasiliensis (rubber tree)
Lineage: Eukaryota; Viridiplantae; Streptophyta; Magnoliopsida; Malpighiales; Euphorbiaceae
Source: RNAcentral